UGAGGGGCCAGUGUUUUCCUCGCGCCGCCGGCGGCGGCGGCCACCACUGGGGCUCCGUUCCCCUCUUCCCAUGCGGCCUCGCCUCCCUGAGACUGCUUGGCGGCGGCUCUGGGUGCGGUGUCAUCGUCAGAGGGCGUGCGCCGGUGGCUUCUCAUCGGCUCGCCUCUCCAUGUUCUGGUACUGUAUUAAAUUGUAGGGUCAGAAGCUGAUAUAUGGUACCUAGAGAUUAUCUGGUUGAAGUGAUCAUCACACAUAUGUUACUAUGUUAGUAUGGGCAUAAUGGAGAAAUUCUGCCAGAAGAGUAAUGCCUACGGGUUAUCUGGUGUAGACAUGCAGAUUUUUGUGGAUUGCGAUCUUCUGAUGGCUGGAUGUUGCUCCUCAUUGCUUAUAUGAUUUUCUUUCUCCGGAGCAAUGUCCGUUUCAGGGAUAUAGUAUUCCACACUGCAUGAAUGUUGGAUGCAGUCUAUAUUACAAACCGUGUUCCAGAGUGUCCUAUAGUUCACUAGAAAUCCUGUACAUUACUCCCCAUACUGCUUUGUUGGGCAAGU
Molecule: long non-coding RNA, 548 nt
Organism: Oryza brachyantha (malo sina)
Lineage: Eukaryota; Viridiplantae; Streptophyta; Magnoliopsida; Poales; Poaceae
Exons: 3
Source: RefSeq, a predicted model, not a curated record